CCUACGGGAGGCUGCAGUGGGGGAUAUUGGACAAUGGGGGGAACCCUGAUCCAGCGACGCCGCGUGAGUGAAGAAGUAUUUCGGUAUGUAAAGCUCUGUCAGCAGGGAAGAAAGAAAUGACGGUACCUGACCACGAAGCCCCGGCUAACUACGUGCCAGCAGCCGCGGUAAUACGUAGGGGGCAAGCGUUAUCCGGAAUUACUGGGUGUAAAGGGAGCGUAGACGGUUAAGUAAGUCUGGAGUGAAAGGCCGGGGCACAACCCCGGGACUGCUCUGGAAACUAUUGAACUUGAGUGUAGGAGCGGUAAGCGGAAUGCCUAGUGUAGCGGUGAAAUGCGUAGAUAUUAGGAGGAACACCAGUGGCGAAGGCGGCUUACUGGACUGUAACUGACGUUGAGGCUCGAAAGCGUGGGGAGCAAACAGGAUUAGAUACCCGAGUAGUC
Molecule: ribosomal RNA, 443 nt
Filed under: uncultured bacterium
Lineage: Bacteria
Description: partial 16S ribosomal RNA
Rfam family: Bacterial small subunit ribosomal RNA
Source: RNAcentral